CCAAGAUAAAGAAAUCUUGAUUGGGUUCAAACUUCUUUUACAGUGACCCUCAGACAGUAAGCAGCCUGCCUUUGGUCACAGAGAGAGUCCAGGUGGUGGUAAAUUUGGAACUGAGGCUUCCAACAUCACCCCUGAGGCUCUCCUCAGGAUACACUGUCAAUGCUACAUGGUGCACACAAAUGCUCAAUAAACAUCUACUGGGUCACUGAGCUGCUAAAGAUCUUCUCACAUGAUAAAAGGAAAGAACAUGGAUUUUCAAGUCAGGCAGAUCCUGCUAUGGAAGGCCAGUGGCA
This 293-nucleotide long non-coding RNA is filed under the name Bos taurus (domestic cattle). RNAcentral describes it as "long non-coding RNA NONBTAT026771". The record is from RNAcentral. Lineage: Eukaryota; Metazoa; Chordata; Mammalia; Artiodactyla; Bovidae.